This 502-nucleotide ribosomal RNA is filed under the name uncultured bacterium. RNAcentral's name for it is "partial 16S ribosomal RNA". It matches the Rfam family "Bacterial small subunit ribosomal RNA", at positions 28 to 523 of the family's 1533-position model. The record is from RNAcentral.
GAUGAACGCUAGCGACAGGCUUAACACAUGCAAGUCGAGGGGUAACAGGGCGUAGCAAUACACCGCUGAGGAACGGCGCACGGGUGAGUAACGCGUAUGCAACCUGUCCGUUACAGGGGUAUAGCCCAUGGAAACGUGGAUGAAUCCCCCAGAGUAUAAUAGGGAGGCAGCGUCGUAUUAUUAAAUAUUCAUUGGUAACGGUUGGACAUGCGGCCUAUUAGAUAGUUGGGGGGGUAACGGUCCACGAAGUCGAUGAUAGGGAGGGGUUAUGGGAGGAAGGUCCCCCACACUGGUACUGAGACACGGACCAGACUCCUACGGGAGGCAGCAGUGAGGAAUAUUGGUCAAUGGCCGAGAGGCUGAACCAGCCAAGUCGCGUGAGGGAUGACUGCCCUAUGGGUUGUAAACCUCUUUUGUAUGGGGAGAAUAAGCAUUACGUGUAGUGCGAUGACAGUACCAUACGAAUAAUCAUCGGCUAACUCCGUGCCAGCCGCCGCCGUAA